Molecule: ribosomal RNA, 468 nt
Filed under: uncultured bacterium
Lineage: Bacteria
Description: partial 16S ribosomal RNA
Rfam family: Bacterial small subunit ribosomal RNA
Source: RNAcentral
GACGAACGCUGGCGGCGUGCUUAACACAUGCAAGUCGGACGGAAAGGCCCUGCUUUUGUGGGGUGCUCGAGUGGCGAACGGGUGAGUAACACGUGAGUAACCUGCCCUUGACUUUGGGAUAACUUCGGGAAACUGGGGCUAAUACCGGAUAGGAGCUCCUGCUGCAUGGUGGGGGUUGGAAAGUUUCGGCGGUUGGGGAUGGACUCGCGGCUUAUCAGCUUGUUGGUGGGGUAGUGGCUUACCAAGGCUUUGACGGGUAGCCGGCCUGAGAGGGUGACCGGCCACAUUGGGACUGAGAUACGGCCCAGACUCCUACGGGGGGCAGCAGUGGGGAAUAUUGCACAAUGGGCGGAAGCCUGAUGCAGCAACGCCGCGUGCGGGAUGACGGCCUUCGGGUUGUAAACCGCUUUCGCCUGUGACGAAGCGUGAGUGACGGUAAUGGGUAAAGAAGCACCGGCUAACUACGUG